GUGUGUGUCUCCUCUUGUUUAGGUAUUAUGUUUAUACAGAUCUUUUACCUAUAAUAGUCAGAACUUAUAAUUAGGUUAGUUAGGUUUUCUAGAUAUACAGAGAUAUAUUUGAGAUGGUUAGGUAUUCUUCAAACCUUUCAAAGACCUACAGAAAUAUGUCAUUUAAAUGGUUUAGGGUUUAUCUUGGCAAUGAGACACACCUGCUCCUAGCACACCAAUUACAUCAGAAAGGAGGAUGGGCAUUAAAGAAACUCAUUAUGGAGUUUGCUUUCAACAUGGCAAGAUUAGCCAUUUGGGCAAGAAACUGCUCUUGCCUGGACUGUUUGUUGCUGUAUAAACUGGACAUGCAGGACCCACAAGUAAGUGACUGCUAAACUUACAAAACAAGACAGUACUAAAGGGUUCCUGUUGAAAUGGAGAAGUGUGCCAGACACACUGUGGCCUAUGGGCUGAAGAUGGAUGCCCCAACGUUACAGAGAAACCUUGGGUGACUAUCCAGGGAGCGAGAUAUUCUGUCAAUUCUAGAAUUUAUAUAUUAUCCUUCUGUGGCCUUUGAUAGAGUUAAAGACAGAUAGUUAUGGUUAUAGUUUUCUUCAGUUAUUAUAAAAGAUAAGUUAUCCUUUUAUUUAGACAGAAAAGAGGAGAUGAUGGGGAAUGUACUGUGUAUGUUUAUCUUAUUGAUUAUUGAAUAAAAUACUGUUUGGCCAAUGAGACAGCAAGUUAGGACUAGGAGUCAAAGAGGAUUCUGAGAAAUGUAGUAGAUAAGUGGUGAUCCAGGCAGGAAGUGACAUAGCAAGGAGACUCAUAUUUAAAGAAGGAGAAACAGGAAGCGUCCCUCUUUUUCCCCUCUGCUCCUGCUCCAGCGGCACAAUGUGAUCCACCGGCAAGGAGGGACACCAAUAAGGCGUCCGAUAAGAUAAGUCUUAUAAAAUAUAUAGAUUUAUGAUAAUUGAGACUGAGCUAACAGAUGAGGAAUCCUAGAGUCAUUGGCCAAGCAGCAUUGUACCUAAUACAAGUUUCUGUGUAUUCAUUUGGGCCUAACUCGGGUGGGUAGCUGGUGUAGAGCACACAUGUGGCGGCAGGGCUCGAUGGCUUUUGGCGGAAAGAUUUAUCAUAACACUAGAUUGUUCUAUCAUGAGUUCCAGGCUAUCCAGAGAUACAGAGUAAAACUCUGUCUCAAAAAAAAACAAAAACCAAAAAAAAACAAAACAAAACCAAGAUAGAAUUCUGAAAAUAGUCAAUAAAUCCAAAAUAAAGUCAGAAAAAGGGAACAGAGAAACCAAAAGCAGAUGAGAUAAACUAAAAACAAAGGAAAAUGGUAACAUAAAAUCCAGUCAUGUGAUGAACUACAAUAAAUGUAAAUGGACUAAAAUCUCUAAUAUCUAAAAUCAAGAAAUGAUAGCAAAAUAAGACUCAUCUAUAUGUUGUCAGUAAGACACUUGUUUCAAACAUAAAAUCCAAAUAAUUGCUAAAAACAUAAUUGCAUGCAAAUAAUAGUUAUAAGAAGACAAGUUACAAUUUUGUCACAUGCUAAGUAGACAUCAAGAACAAAGAGCCUUAUGUGAGGAAGGGAGGAACAGUUCUCAAUGUUAAAAUUAUGUAUUUAUCAGAACAUCAUAACAAUUGUAAAUGUUUGUUUGCUUGCCAACAAUGCUUCAACGUAUAUAAAUUGAAUAGAUUCCCAGAGAGAAACAGUCUAAUUUACAAUCAUGAUUCAUACUUAGUACCAUAGUCCCGGUACCAUUUCACCUAUCACACAAUAGAAGUACUGUAUAAAAUAUACUGUAAACAGAGCUGCCAAGCACAGCAAUCUCACUGGCUUUCAGGAUUUCUGUGCCCAACAACAAUGGGAGGUAACUAGUGCCAAGGGCAUAAGACAAAUCCACCAACAUAGAACAUAUGCUAGUCAAAAUAUGUGUCAAUACUAAUAAAGGAAUAAAAUCAAACUGAACAUGUUACCUGACCACGAUUAAAAUAAAAAUUUUAAAAAGCAUAUCCAGUUAAAAAACAAACCCAAAUAUUAGGAAGUUAAAUAACAUGCUUCCCACAUCUUGAUGAAAUUGGUUAUGGUAAUAAACGUCAAGGUUCCCAGGACCCCGAGGCAGAAGCAGGAGGAGCACAAAUCUCAGACCUAAAACUGUGUAGCAAAAACCUGUUUUGGAAGGAAAGAAAAACAGGAAAGAAGGGGGAAAGAGGAUGGAGGGAAGGAAGGAAGUAGUAUGAGUUUGGGAAGCAGAAGAGAAGUUGUUCACCAGUGUUUAAGAAGCUGCUGUAGCAAGAGAGAAGAGAAGUGGGGAAUCAGAACCAGAUUAUAAGACAAAAAUAUGGGGCCACGGAGAUGGCUCCAUGGGUGGAAGUAUUUCCCUGGUGGAAGGAGAGAACUGAACUCCACACAUGCACAGUGACACACUCAUGCAUCCGUGUGGGCAUGCACGGGCACACAGGCAUGCACACACCCAGCAAUGAUGAUGAUGAUGAUGAGUGAAAAUAUAGGAACAUAUGAUUGUUGAAAUUACAAUAUCAUCAGAAUAUAUAUGACAUGAUGUAAUAGAGUUAAAUUAGAAAAACAUCUCUUUUCAGCAUUAACCUGUGUAAAGUUACUAAAGAGCAGAAGGGAGAAAACGGAAGAAAAAAUGGUCAAACUUCCCCAAAUUCAGAUAAAUCCUGCCUGUCCAUUGGCCAGAACAGCUUUAUUCAUCAACCAAUAAACACUUAUUUAUAGCAUACAGAACAACCUCCGACAUCAUGAAAAGCGUCCAUUCUCCUUCAAUGAGUGAGGCCAAUUCCAGGAGUUGAUCUCAACAAAAUAAUUUGAAAAUGUACCCACAACACCGCAGCUUCCACGGGGAGAUUUUUCUCUUUCUUUAAUUUGCAUUUUAAUUUUUUAUUUUUAUGUUUUGUUUUCUUUUGUGGGGAGGUUGCAAGGAUAGAGGGCUGAUACAGAGGGACAGGGAGAUGAGUAGGAUUGUGAUGUAUGAUAUGAAUUCACAAAGAAUCAAUAAAAUAAAUAAAAUGUACCCACAGGUUUAAAUAAGAGUGUUCAUCACAGUGUCAUCAGUAAUGUUGAAAACAACAGAAACAAUUUAAGAGUACACAAAUAUGACCUUCACUACUUGGUUUGGAGGGUGCUGUGCAGUCAUUUAAAAUUUGUAUUAGAAAAAGAAAGUGGAAAUAAUAACGAAUAAUAUCCAUGACAUAUCCCCAAUGCUUCUUUGUGAAUAAUGUACAUAUCUGAGAAAUGGUUAUACAACAAUAUAACUUUAUGUAUUCAGAGACUAGGACAUGAGCACCUACCCUCUUAGAGAGUACUGUGAGCUCAGUACUGAACAAGGCAGUUGCUGGGUACCUGCCCUUAAAAUUAUUGGAGAGCUGGGAGUGGUCAUUCAUGCCUGCAAUCCCAGCAUGCAGAAAAAUUUUCAUGAGUUGGAGGCUAGCCUGGGCUAGAGAUUCUGUCUCAGAAAAACAGAACUUGGAGGUUAAAUGCUGGUUACAAUAGAUGACCCCACUGAGCCUCUGGGUUUGCUAAUAAAAUUCCUCAGUUAUUUUCUUUUUGCAUCUUUUAUGGAUGAAGGAGACAACACAUAGGAAUUACUACUUGAAGGUUCAUUUGGGUAGCUGAGGAUUUAGCUCAGUGACAGAGUGCUUACCUAGCUAAUGCAGGGUCCCCGCUGUCUUCCUCAGCUCCAGAAUAAUCACAGUUCAUUUGAGACAGACUAUAUGGAAGCAGAACCCCAACAGCAGUUAGCCCCACUGGGGAUGUGGCUAGUCAGUAAAGUGCUGGCCAUGACAGUCUGAUGACUGGAGCUUGACCCCAGAACCCACAUAAAGAAGGCAGGCAUGGUGGCACACUUUAAACCCAGCACUGGGGUAGCAAAGACAUGAAGAUAACUGGGCACACUGGCCAGUCAGCCUAGCCUACUUGAUGAGUUACAGACCAGAGAGACUGCCCCCCCCCCAAAAAAAAAUCUAAAUGAAUGGCUUCUGAUGGAGAAACACCUGAGGUGAUUUCUUGAUUUUACAUGAAGGCACACAUGUGCAGGUGAACCCAAAUACACACGUACCCAUUCAUACUCAAAUGAACAUGCCUGUAUUUGCACACAUGUACACAUGAACCCAAAUACACAUGUGCCCAUGUGUACUCAAAUGAACACACACACACACACACACACACACAUUAGUGAGCCCCAAGAACACUCUAUUUAGUUUUAUGCUUUACAUUCUUGAAAAGAUCCUUGCAAUCUCCAAGAGCACACACUUUUCCAAAGGACAUUGCAGGGGGAGGUCCUUAAGAUGAGCUUAGAUUAAGCCAUCUCUUCAGGGACCGAAUGAUGAUGCUCCUUCCAAAUUCAAGUAGAAAUGUCAUCCCAAUGCAUCGGCACUGCAAAUGUGGUCUUUGGAAGACAACUGAGUCACAGGUUCCAUCCUCAAGAGUGAAACUAAAUGUCCUUACCAAAAGACUCAAGGGCAGACUUCACCCUUCUUGCCCACAGACUUCCAGAAUCACACCAUUCCUUUCAGCCAGUGGACACCAUUGGAAGCAGGGAGCAGCCCUGGCCAGAACCUGAACAUCCUGGUGCCUUGAUCUUGGACUCCUUAGACUACAGAGCAAUGAGAGAAUACAUUCCUAUUCUUUGUAAAGUAUUCUGUCUGCAGUAUUUUGGUAUAGUGGCACAAAGAGACCAAAGUAGACUCAUUUAAUAUAGGAAAAUUUGGUUCUGGCACUUACAUCCUCAAGAUCCUCAAAGACAUCCUUCACUCUCUCUGUUUUCCCAUUCCCAGAAUUAGAAGUCAGCCCUGCAAUCCUUGUGAAACCCGACCCCGGCCCCCCACCCCCGGCCUGCCCCCUGUCAGCAUGCCCGUGCUUGCUCCUUCUACUGUACAUUUCCAAACCUCAAUCUCAAGGUCAUUUCUGUGGAUGCUCUCCUCGACCCAGCGAUCCCAUCGGCCAUUCCCAAGUCCUCUCCAAACCUUUCUUCCUUUCAACCCAUCCUCACUCUAG
RNAcentral lists this long non-coding RNA (4999 nucleotides) under Cricetulus griseus (Chinese hamster). Its description in RNAcentral is "lncRNA (ENSCGRG00015038382.1)". The record is from RNAcentral. Lineage: Eukaryota; Metazoa; Chordata; Mammalia; Rodentia; Cricetidae.